GGCUCAAUCGAAAUCAUUAAAACAUUAUGGAUAGCACAAUAAAAAAAAGGCAAUUAAAACGAUUUAAACUAAGUAUACAUAAGCAUGUACAGAAACGUACGAUAACAUAUUUGUUUUAAUCUUGAAUAUAAGAAUUCGAUCUAAAAUAAAAAUAAAUUAUCUUCGGUAAUCGGUCGUACUUAGCAAAUUUGCGUAUAUUCCUACGAUUAUAUACGACCAAUAAUAUCUUAAAAUAUGCAUUCUAAAUAAUACUCAACACAGCAUAAAAAGCUUAUGUAUAUUUAUAUUUAACAAAUACCUAUAAGUGAUAAUCGGCAAACACGCAUUAGAAAAAUAAUGAUAAAAAUAAAUAUGCGAACAUCUCUACUAUUCAUGGAAAUUUGUGAUUAAAUAAAUAAAAUAAAAAUAUCAAAUAAUCGAUGUGUUGCCAUAGAAAAAGGAAAAAAUAAAUUGAAAACUUGAGUAUUGACUUAUUAAAAGAUCUUUUGAAAGAUCGUGUCUACUUAACGUUAGCAUUUCGUUCAAAUUGUGCCUGAAUCGUUCGAGUCGAUUUCGCAUCACUAAUGUUAAAAUCAUCGUUAAGGCGAAGUAAUAGGUCUGACGAUUUUUGAAAGACAUGGUAUCUCGCAUCGUACACGUGCUGAAUCUCUGAUGGGCUGAAAGGGUCGCCGUUGGACAGCGAUGGCGGUCGUAGAAACUGAGAAAGGAGUGACAAGUGAAAUAGAGAGGGGGUGGUGAAGAGGAUGAGGUAAAAGACAAGUAAACCCCCUCUGAAAGGGAGGAAAAGGAGGGGGAGAGAAGCACACGGAGGAGAGAGCUGCUCCCUCUCUCACUGGGUUUAUUGAUCGCAGGGUGCGGAACGGACCGAGCUACCCUUCGUGCAUCCGUACGCCAUGCUUGAUGGUAUUUGGUCCAACGAGGUAGUUUGCUCGUUUGCCCACAGCUUAUCUCUAUUCCUCUCUGUCCUCGCUUAUCCAAAGUUUUACUGAAUUAUAAAUCAAAUUUAAAAGAAGGGAAAGCUUGGUGACAACAAAAAAUUAAAUAGUUAACAAAUAUUGCAGUUAAGAUUUGUACGACGCGUGAUUGAACAAAGACGAUGACGAUGGCGAUGACGAUGACGAUAACGAUCACGAUCACGUUCUAGCUACGAUGAUGUCACUGUCCUCAGGACGAUACGAUCCGUCAUCUUGAAAGAAACGUGUUAGCCAACCAAACGAGACAAACAUGCUGACGAAAAGAAUAAAGAAAGUGAGCCCGAGAAAAUCUGGAGUAAGAGACGGGACAGAAAAGAAGAAAAAAAAAUAAAAAAGAAGGUAAAAAGAUCGUUGAAGGGGAGUCGCUCUUGGUGGUAACCAAGGCAACGCGCAAAGCGUAGUAAGUGUAAGCUCGUGGCGAACAAAUUUUGAACAAAUGAUUUUAAAAUGUUCCAAUACAUAUUUCCUCCAGUGGAAGAAUAUAAAGAUCAUUUCAAAAA
This 1474-nucleotide long non-coding RNA is filed under the name Polistes fuscatus (common paper wasp). RNAcentral describes it as "uncharacterized LOC122519178". The record is from RNAcentral. Lineage: Eukaryota; Metazoa; Arthropoda; Insecta; Hymenoptera; Vespidae.